This 59-nucleotide small nucleolar RNA is filed under the name Vanderwaltozyma polyspora DSM 70294. RNAcentral describes it as "Small nucleolar RNA snR57". It matches the Rfam family "Small nucleolar RNA snR57", at positions 33 to 91 of the family's 95-position model. From Rfam's summary of the family: snR57 is a member of the C/D class of snoRNA which contain the C (UGAUGA) and D (CUGA) box motifs. Lineage: Eukaryota; Fungi; Ascomycota; Saccharomycetes; Saccharomycetales; Saccharomycetaceae. The record is from Rfam by way of RNAcentral.
UUUACUGAGGAAGUAUAUGCAGGACAUAUUGUUAUUUAGGAAUUCUUCGUUUAUGAUCU